This is a non-coding RNA of Acanthosepion pharaonis, 113 nucleotides long. The record is from the annotation of a GenBank genome assembly. Lineage: Eukaryota; Metazoa; Mollusca; Cephalopoda; Sepiida; Sepiidae.
UUACGGCCAUAUAACAUUGAAACACCGGUUCUCGUAAGAUCACCGAAGUUAAGCAACCUAGAGCCUGGUCAAUUCCGAGAUGGGUGGCCGCUUGGGAAUACUAGGUGCUGUAA